RNAcentral lists this ribosomal RNA (554 nucleotides) under uncultured bacterium. Its description in RNAcentral is "bacterial SSU rRNA". It matches the Rfam family "Bacterial small subunit ribosomal RNA", at positions 36 to 575 of the family's 1533-position model. The record is from RNAcentral.
CCGUCAGCUACAGCUAUCAUGCAGUCGAGCGAAGGACAGUGAGCUUGCUCCUUUGAAGUUAGCGGCGGACGGGUGAGUAACACGUGGGUAACCUACCUAUAAGACUGGAAUAACUUCGGGAAACCGGAGCUAAUGCCGGAUAACAUUUGGAACCGCAUGGUUCUAAAGUAAAAGAUGGUUUUGCUAUCACUUAUAAAUGGACCCGCGCCGUAUUAGCUAGUUGGUAAGGUAACGGCUUACCAAGGCAACGAUACGUAGCCGACCUGAAAGGGUGAUCGGCCACACUGGAACUGAAACACGGUCCAAACUCCUACGGGAGGCAGCAGUAGGGAAUCUUCCGCAAUGGACGAAAGUCUGACGGAGCAACGCCGCGUGAGUGAUGAAGGUUUUCGGAUCGUAAAACUCUGUUAUUAGGGAAGAACAAAUGUGUAAGUAACUGUGCACAUCUUGACGGUACCUAAUCAGAAAGCCACGGCUAACUACGUGCCAGCAGCCGCGGUAAUACGUAGGUGGCAAGUGUUAUCCGGAAUUAUUGGGCGUAAACAGCGCGUAAA